This 1372-nucleotide ribosomal RNA is filed under the name uncultured bacterium. Its description in RNAcentral is "bacterial SSU rRNA". It matches the Rfam family "Bacterial small subunit ribosomal RNA", at positions 28 to 1381 of the family's 1533-position model. The record is from RNAcentral.
GAUGAACGCUGGCGGCGUGCCUAAUACAUGCAAGUCGAGCGAACGGACGAGAAGCUUGCUUCUCUGAUGUUAGCGGCGGACGGGUGAGUAACACGUGGAUAACCUACCUAUAAGACUGGGAUAACUUCGGGAAACCGGAGCUAAUACCGGAUAAUAUUUUGAACCGCAUGGUUCAAAAGUGAAAGACGGUCUUGCUGUCACUUAUAGAUGGAUCCGCGCUGCAUUAGCUAGUUGGUAAGGUAACGGCUUACCAAGGCAACGAUGCAUAGCCGACCUGAGAGGGUGAUCGGCCACACUGGAACUGAGACACGGUCCAGACUCCUACGGGAGGCAGCAGUAGGGAAUCUUCCGCAAUGGGCGAAAGCCUGACGGAGCAACGCCGCGUGAGUGAUGAAGGUCUUCGGAUCGUAAAACUCUGUUAUUAGGGAAGAACAUAUGUGUAAGUAACUGUGCACAUCUUGACGGUACCUAAUCAGAAAGCCACGGCUAACUACGUGCCAGCAGCCGCGGUAAUACGUAGGUGGCAAGCGUUAUCCGGAAUUAUUGGGCGUAAAGCGCGCGUAGGCGGUUUUUUAAGUCUGAUGUGAAAGCCCACGGCUCAACCGUGGAGGGUCAUUGGAAACUGGAAAACUUGGGUGCAGAAGAGGAAAGUGGAAUUCCAUGUGUAGCGGUGAAAUGCGCAGAGAUAUGGAGGAACACCAGUGGCGAAGGCGACUUUCUGGUCUGUAACUGACGCUGAUGUGCGAAAGCGUGGGGAUCAAACAGGAUUAAAUACCCUGGUAGUCCACGCCGUAAACGAUGAGUGCUAAGUGUUAGGGGGUUUCCGCCCCUUAGUGCUGCAGCUAACGCAUUAAGCACUCCGCCUGGGGAGUACGACCGCAAGGUUGAAACUCAAAGGAAUUGACGGGGACCCGCACAAGCGGUGGAGCAUGUGGUUUAAUUCGAAGCAACGCGAAGAACCUUACCAAAUCUUGACAUCCUUUGACAACUCUAGAGAUAGAGCCUUCCCCUUCGGGGGACAAAGUGACAGGUGGUGCAUGGUUGUCGUCAGCUCGUGUCGUGAGAUGUUGGGUUAAGUCCCGCAACGAGCGCAACCCUUAAGCUUAGUUGCCAUCAUUAAGUUGGGCACUCUAAGUUGACUGCCGGUGACAAACCGGAGGAAGGUGGGGAUGACGUCAAAUCAUCAUGCCCCUUAUGAUUUGGGCUACACACGUGCUACAAUGGACAAUACAAAGGGCAGCGAAACCGCGAGGUCAAGCAAAUCCCAUAAAGUUGUUCUCAGUUCGGAUUGUAGUCUGCAACUCGACUACAUGAAGCUGGAAUCGCUAGUAAUCGUAGAUCAGCAUGCUACGGUGAAUACGUUCCCGGGUCU